GAAGAUGAUAAUAUUAAUCUGCUAAAUUAGUAACCCAGCCCUAACCCCCUGGCAUCCU
This 58-nucleotide transfer RNA is filed under the name Paroedura homalorhina. RNAcentral describes it as "tRNA-Ser". The record is from RNAcentral. Lineage: Eukaryota; Metazoa; Chordata; Lepidosauria; Squamata; Gekkonidae.